Molecule: ribosomal RNA, 253 nt
Filed under: uncultured bacterium
Lineage: Bacteria
Description: partial 16S ribosomal RNA
Rfam family: Bacterial small subunit ribosomal RNA
Source: RNAcentral
GACGGAGCAGGCAAGCGUUAUCCGGAAUUAUUGGGCGUAAAGGGUACGUAGGCGGCUGGUCAAGUCUGGGGUCAAAGGCCACAGCUCAACUGUGGGAAGGCCCUGGAAACUGACCGGCUAGAGUGAGGUAGGGGUUGCGGGAAUUCCCGGUGUAGCGGUGAAAUGCGUAGAGAUCGGGAAGAACACCUGAGGCGGAAGCGCGCAACUGGGCCUCAACUGACGCUGAGGCACGAAAGCUAGGUGAGCGAAUGGG